GAUGAACGCUGGCGGCGUGCCUAAUACAUGCAAGUCGAGCGAACAGACGAGGAGCUUGCUCCUUUGACGUUAGCGGCGGACGGGUGAGUAACACGUGGGUAACCUACCUAUAAGACUGGGAUAACUUCGGGAAACCGGAGCUAAUACCGGAUAAUAUUUCGAACCGCAUGGUUCGAUAGUGAAAGAUGGCUUUGCUAUCACUUAUAGAUGGACCUGCGCCGUAUUAGCUAGUUGGUAAGGUAACGGCUUACCAAGGCAACGAUACGUAGCCGACCUGAGAGGGUGAUCGGCCACACUGGAACUGAGACACAGUCCAGACUCCUACGGGAGGCAGCAGUAGGGAAUCUUCCGCAAUGGGCGAAAGCCUGACGGAGCAACGCCGCGUGAGUGAUGAAGGUCUUCGGAUCGUAAAACUCUGUUAUUAGGGAAGAAUAAACGUGUAAGUAACUGUGCACGUCUUGACGGUACCUAAUCAGAAAGCCACGGCUAACUACGUG
RNAcentral lists this ribosomal RNA (497 nucleotides) under uncultured bacterium. RNAcentral's name for it is "partial 16S ribosomal RNA". It matches the Rfam family "Bacterial small subunit ribosomal RNA", at positions 28 to 507 of the family's 1533-position model. The record is from RNAcentral.